This 74-nucleotide transfer RNA is filed under the name Oscillospiraceae bacterium. RNAcentral describes it as "tRNA-Trp". It matches the Rfam family "tRNA". Rfam says of the family: Transfer RNA (tRNA) molecules are approximately 80 nucleotides in length. Their secondary structure includes four short double-helical elements and three loops (D, anti-codon, and T loops). The record is from RNAcentral. Lineage: Bacteria; Bacillati; Bacillota; Clostridia; Eubacteriales; Oscillospiraceae.
AGGGGCAUAGUGUAAUGGUAACACCCCGGUCUCCAAAACCGUUAUUGAGGGUUCGAAUCCUUCUGCCCCUGCCA